This 384-nucleotide RNase P RNA is filed under the name human gut metagenome. Its description in RNAcentral is "Bacterial RNase P class A". It matches the Rfam family "Bacterial RNase P class A". Rfam says of the family: Ribonuclease P (RNase P) is a ubiquitous endoribonuclease, found in archaea, bacteria and eukarya as well as chloroplasts and mitochondria. The record is from RNAcentral.
CGGAUAGCUGCGCCGCGGAAAGUAAGAUCCACCGGUGAGGAAAGUCCGGGCUUCACGGAGGCAGAGCACCAGAUAACGUCUGGCUGGAGAAAUCCAAGGGAAAGUGCCGCAGAAAAUUACCGCCUUCUAUACGGAGGUAAGGUUGAAAAGGCGAGGUAAGAGCUCACCGCGGUUGUGGCAACAUGACCGGCAAGGUAAACCCUGUUCGAUGUAAGACCAAGUUAGGACGGUUUUCGUCAGAAAACCAGUUAGAAGCGCCUCCGCUUCUUCCAGAGGUAGGUCGCGAUGAGCCAAACAGUGAUGUCUGGCCAAGAUGAAUAGCUAUCGUCAUGAUAUUCCGGUAGCAGGAAUAUUUAUGAUACAGAACCCGGCUUACAGAUUGCC